AAAUCAGGUCUCCUUCACCAACAUUCAAAGGUAGUUUGAAGAUCAGACAGGUCAUAGGUCAAAAUGGUCAUAUUUAACUGUGUGUGCAUGCAUGUGUGUGUAGGUGUGUGUUCUGCCAUGGAUCAGUGUGAGGACAGAGAGGAGGGAGUCCGUCCCUCUGAAAGGACUCUGUGUGGAGAACAUGAGAACCAGACCACAGCUCAGAGCUCUGACUCUGAGUUUCCGUCCAGCUGUGAGUCCCUGAAGAGUGACGGGUCUAUGAAGGAACCCCUUCACUUUAAAUCAGGACCAGGACCUGCUGAUGAGGGCGUCAGCCAGCAGAGCUCCCAGGUUCUCCGUGGAGGCUCCGCCCCUCAGCAUCCAGCACAUCUGGACUCCAUCUUUGUGGUGAGAACAAGUCUCCAUUCAACACUUUACUGU
Salarias fasciatus (jewelled blenny) is the source of this 420-nucleotide long non-coding RNA. RefSeq lists it as uncharacterized. NCBI's taxonomy places the organism in Eukaryota, Metazoa, Chordata, Actinopteri, Blenniiformes, Blenniidae. The record is from RefSeq and is a predicted model, not a curated record. The transcript has 3 exons.